Long non-coding RNA from Sinocyclocheilus anshuiensis, 93 nucleotides. RefSeq lists it as uncharacterized. The record is from RefSeq and is a predicted model, not a curated record. NCBI's taxonomy places the organism in Eukaryota, Metazoa, Chordata, Actinopteri, Cypriniformes, Cyprinidae. The transcript has 3 exons.
UGCCGGGUUACAGAAGAGGCUUGAGCAGUCCUGCUAAAAGGUCUGAGUUUGCAAGACUUUUAGUUCUUUGAAGAUUUCAAAUGAAAUGUUUGA